UGGGGAAUCUUGCGCAAUGGGGGAAACCCUGACGCAGCAACGCCGCGUGGGUGAUGAAGGCCUUCGGGUCGUAAAGCCCUGUCAGGUGGGAAGAAACUUGUGGAUGUCAACACCAUCCAUGCUUGACGGUACCACCGGAGGAAGCACCGGCUAACUCCGUGCCAGCAGCCGCGGUAAUACGGAGGGUGCAAGCGUUGUUCGGAAUUAUUGGGCGUAAAGCGCGUGUAGGUGGUCGUGUAAGUCAGAUGUGAAAGCCUUCUGCUUAACAGAAGAAGUGCAUUUGAAACUGCUCGGCUAGAGUACGGGAGAGGAGAGUGGAAUUCCCGGUGUAGAGGUGAAAUUCGUAGAUAUCGGGAGGAACACCAGUGGCGAAGGCGGCUCUCUGGUCCGAUACUGACGCUGAGACGCGAAAGCGUGGGGAGCAAACAGGAUUAGAUACCCUGGUAGUCCACGCCGUAAACGAUGGGCACUAGGUGUAGGAGGUAUUGACCCCUUCUGUGCCGAAGCUAACGCAUUAAGUGCCCCGCCUGGGGAGUACGGCCGCAAGGCUA
RNAcentral lists this ribosomal RNA (551 nucleotides) under uncultured bacterium. RNAcentral describes it as "bacterial SSU rRNA". It matches the Rfam family "Bacterial small subunit ribosomal RNA", at positions 355 to 896 of the family's 1533-position model. The record is from RNAcentral.